This is a long non-coding RNA of Bactrocera neohumeralis, 1552 nucleotides long. RefSeq lists it as uncharacterized. The transcript is spliced from 3 exons. NCBI's taxonomy places the organism in Eukaryota, Metazoa, Arthropoda, Insecta, Diptera, Tephritidae. The record is from RefSeq and is a predicted model, not a curated record.
UUGCGGUUUUCAACCCGACUUGGUCGAAUUGAAGUUAAGGCAACUCAACUUCAGAUCAACCAAACUCUUUUUCGGUAUUGCGAACUUCAACUAAGUUCAGUCGAAGUAUGAUUGGCGUUGCCAACCUAAGAAAGGGAAAUUUGACAGAUAGUGAAACAGCUAAAAUUUUGUAAACGACAUAUUUAAACAAUUGAAUUCAGUUGUCGCUCGCGAAAAAGUGAAUAAACAUAUAUAAUAAACAAUAAAUAAAAAAUGGAUAUAAGUUUUGAUUUAUAUUACAAUGACGAAAAUACUGGGGGCAAAAUUGAUGUGCUACGUAUACGAAAAAGCCUUCGUGAUCACUCAAAUCCAUUGGAGCUUCCAAAUGCAAAAUUCAUAAGUUAUUUUCGAUUAAAUAAAGAAGCAUUUUGUUUUACUACAUUACUGAAUGAGAUGAAGGAACAUUUCCACAAACGUGUGCAAGGAUCGGCCAUACCUCCAAUAUUAAAAUAAUGCACAACUCUGCGUUUCCUUGCUGACGGUGGUUAUCAAAAAUGCAGUGGAAAUGAUUUUAACAUUGGGUUGGCGCAACCUACGAUAUCUUUAGUAAUUAAAGAGGUUCUAAAUAUAAUUGAACAACGUAUUAGUGCCCAAUGGAUUAAAAUUCAAAUGACUGAGGAGGAGCAAAACGCUUCAAAAGUUUCAUUUUAUUCAAAGAGUGCUUUCCCGGGAGUAGUUGGUUGUAUCGACGGGACUCAUGUUCGCAUAAUCACCAAGAAAAGAAGUGCAACAUCUUUAUCUUAACAGAAAGGGCUACUACAGUUUAAACGUGAUGAUUGUAUGUAUAAAAUCUGAAUUAUAUUAGAAACAAAAUGGUAUAAUUUCUUAAAAUUUUUAGCUUUGUGAUUAUAAAAUGUCUAUUCGGUAUGUGGAUGCUAGGCAUGCAGGCGCAAAUCAUGACUCUUUUGUUUUCAAUGUUAGCGAUUUGAAAGUGCAUUUACAGAACAACAUACAGAAUAACACUUGGAUCUUGGGCGACGCUGGCUAUCCUCUGCACAAAUUUUUAAUGACGCCUUAUCGCUUGGCGGAAGCUUCUUCACCCCAAGCACGCUACAAUACAGUACACUCAAAGGCCCGGAAUAUUGUAGAGCGGACAAUUGGUGUACUCAAGAGUAGAUUUCGAUGUCUUUUAUCUGUACGAGGUUUACAUUACACUCCCGAAAAGCUACGCAAAUUGUGAAUGCUUUGUGCGCAUUACACAAUAUUUGCCAACACUUUCAAGUGGAAUCUCCGGAAGAAAUACCAUCUACUUCACAUACUACAAUGACCAAUGAUGUUUUGGACAUAGAAAGAGAAGAAGAGGAUACGGCUCGAAUAAUUCGCAAUAAUAUUAUGACUUCCCUCUAAAUAAUUAAAAUAUUAAAUUUCAUUUAUUAUUUCUAAUGUGCUAUUUAUUCAGGCAUACAUUUAAAUUUUAUUAAAAUAAAUUCAUUAAAUAACAAUAUCACUUCAUUUUUUAAUGUAAACUUAAACUAUGGUACAAAAAUAUAAAAUAUCACUUCAUUCCAGAAUA